This is a non-coding RNA of Lepisosteus oculatus (spotted gar), 216 nucleotides long. Lineage: Eukaryota; Metazoa; Chordata; Actinopteri; Semionotiformes; Lepisosteidae. The record is from RefSeq and is a predicted model, not a curated record.
GUAAACUUGACUUUUUCCAGGUGUGCGCAAACCAGCGGCACGUAAUCGAGUAAAAAAGUACAGAUCUAGUCACGAAAGAAGACUUUCAGAGUGGUGAGGAGGUAAUUCAUGUGAACUGAUCUGCAUCACUGAACACUGAAGAGCUCCACAAAAACCAUAAAAUAAAGAUUUCUGAUGGUUCUUUAAGUCAGACGGGAGCUGAGCAUAUGUCAAAGG